AAUCUGAUUCGAGAAGCUGUUUUCGAGUCUGCCUGCACACUCAGGCGCAGUGGUAACUUAGCAAGUAACUCUGGGUAGGAGAGUGGUGUGCCUGGUCAUUACAUUGUCAUUACGUUACAAACAUCAGUCAGAUGUCCCACACGGGGACUAAAUGAAACAAAGUAAGCAUCGUGUUUCCCGCCAAAACAUGGCCCAGCGGACGACAGCGUCAACCAGUUGAGUCGCUGAUUAAUCCCAACUAUCACGGCCAGAACACCAUGGGACGACUGACGCCGGAACACUCUUUCAAUGAUGAUGUUUGAUGGAACCAUGGCUCACCGUUGUCGACGACACAGACGUCGGUCCAGCCAUCAUCAUCACCAUCAUCAUCAUGGUCACCAUCACCAUGGCCACCAUCACCACGGUCACCAUCACCACGGUCACCAUCACCAUGGUCACCAUCACCACGGUCACCAUCACCAUGGCCACCAUCACGGACACCAUGGACAUCACCAUCACGGAAAAUAGAUAGCAGAAAGUAUGCCGGCAAGUACAGAGUACCUUCAUUAUCUUGCACAGAGGGAGUGGAGGGCACAUCUAUUGACACCUCACCAACAGUGUUUCAGCCUGGCUAUACUGUAAACCCUGCAUACCUCUACUUGAAAAGAGAGAUUCAAUGUAAACCUGCACAAUAAAUCUAAAUUAUCGUAAAA
This is a long non-coding RNA of Haliotis rufescens (red abalone), 692 nucleotides long. RefSeq lists it as uncharacterized. NCBI's taxonomy places the organism in Eukaryota, Metazoa, Mollusca, Gastropoda, Lepetellida, Haliotidae. The record is from RefSeq and is a predicted model, not a curated record. The transcript has 4 exons.